GACGAACGGACGUGGCGGCGUGGAUUAGGCAUGCAAGUCGAACGGUAUCGAUCCUUUCGGGGGUGAGAGAGUGGCGAACUGGUGAGUAACACGUAGGUUAUCUACCCUCAAGACGGGGGACAACCCAGGGAAACUUGGGCUAAUACCGGAUGUGAGCAACUUUUAGUUGUUUGAAAGGUGGCGUAAGCUGUCGCUUGGGGAUGAGCCUGCGUCCUAUUAGUUAGUUGGUGAGGUAACGGCUCACCUAGGCAAUGAUAGGUAGGCGGCCUUAACGGGUGGUCGCCCACACUGGGAUUGAGAUACGGCCCAGACUCCUACGGGAGGCAGCAGUCGAGAAUAGUCUACAAUGGUCGGAAGACUGAUAGUGCGACGCCGCGUGAACGAUGAAUCCCUUCGGGGUGUAAAGUUCUUUUAUAUGUGAGCAGUGCUUCUUAUAUUAACAGUAUGGGGAGAGAGAUAUUAGCAUAUGAAUAAGCAACGGCUAACUCCGUGCCAGCAACCGCGGU
RNAcentral lists this ribosomal RNA (506 nucleotides) under uncultured bacterium. Its description in RNAcentral is "bacterial SSU rRNA". It matches the Rfam family "Bacterial small subunit ribosomal RNA", at positions 37 to 521 of the family's 1533-position model. The record is from RNAcentral.